This 253-nucleotide ribosomal RNA is filed under the name uncultured bacterium. RNAcentral describes it as "partial 16S ribosomal RNA". It matches the Rfam family "Bacterial small subunit ribosomal RNA", at positions 524 to 776 of the family's 1533-position model. The record is from RNAcentral.
GACGGAGGAUGCAAGCGUUAUCCGGAAUGAUUGGGCGUAAAGCGUCCGCAGGUGGCAGUUCAAGUCUGCUGUCAAAGACCGGGGCUUAACUUCGGAAAGGCAGUGGAAACUGAACAGCUAGAGUAUGGUAGGGGCAGAGGGAAUUCCUGGUGUAGCGGUGAAAUGCGUAGAUAUCGGGAGGAACACCUGCGGCGAAGGCGGGUUGCUGGGCCGACACUGACGCUGAUGCGCGAAAGCCAGGGGAGCGAACGGG